Molecule: long non-coding RNA, 1539 nt
Filed under: Astyanax mexicanus (Mexican tetra)
Lineage: Eukaryota; Metazoa; Chordata; Actinopteri; Characiformes; Acestrorhamphidae
Description: lncRNA (ENSAMXG00005016587.1)
Source: RNAcentral
UUAGGAGUUUCCGCUGGCCGGUUGAUUUGUGGCUCGCCCGCACGUGUGAUCAUUCGAGAGAUUUAGGCUGUGACGGAGGAAGCGCGCAGAGAUUUCAGCCUCUUUUCGGGGAAAAAAGAGAGAAGAAUCAAUAACCCGGUAUUACUUUCAGAGUGGAGAGCUGACGGGUGUCUGUUUGUCUGAAUGGAAGUUGGAAGCUGCUGGAUUAUGGAUUAUAACAGUCUGAGAGCAGCCAGGAGCAAAACGCUCUGAAGUAAAUGUUCAGUCAUUCCCAAAACAUGGCUUCAGCCAGACCAUACUGGGACCAUCACCAUGCUAUGAAUAGCAUGUACUUCUGUUUCGAUGCUGACCCCAUCGAACACAACCUGAAAACACAUCAACAAGGCACGGCCUCCACGGGCUUUGAAAGUAAGUGCAUGACAUUGAAUUCUCCCAGCACAUUCAUCACAGUGUGUUCCUCUGACUCUGAGGCGGAUGUUUCUCAGGAAGUUCAGAAGGUUAUAGGAAGACAGAUUAUCACCUACUGGGCUGAUAAAUGAUUCCUGUAGUAGGCUUUUCUUUUUUUUCUGUGGCUUAAUCUGUUUUUUUUAUAGAGUUGGCACUGACUGUGUUUUUUUCCUUUUUUAUUUUUUUAUAAAGGCUUAUUUGUUUGAGCUGGUGUAGUUUUACUGUGGGAGGUUCUAUCAAUUAAACUGAAACUAACAAUAUCCAUAAUUUUACCACUUACACACACAACCAUAAAAAAUUAGAGUGCAUUUCCUUAUAUACUUGGCUAAACCUGGAGCUCUCUCUGCAAUAUGAGCCCAUAAAAGGAAGAUCCUGGGUCAUUUGUUUUUUUCCUAUCACUAGUAAUGCCCUAAAAACUAGAAAGGUGAAGACUAGCACAUUCAUCCUUGUGAAUCAGCCAGUGAUGCGGUAUUCCUGGGUAGCCAGUGCACUCAGAGGAAAGCACAGCAACCCGGCUAUGAUGCAUCAGCUAACAGAUGCCUGUACUGAGAUGAGAGGAUGACAGGAAAGAGCACCAUCUACCCACCCAAAGAAAGCAGGGCCAAUUUUGCUUGCUCAGACUCCGGCUGCUGAUUGCAACCAAUGAUCCUUGGAUCGUACUGGCAGUGACUUAGUGUGCUGGACAACUCAGAGAGCCCUGACUGCUUAUAUGAGCUUCAUUUCAUACGACUCUCUAUUGUUUAGAAACAAAAGUCACAAUGCAUUCAAACGCAAAAACGGCUCAUAUUGUCAGCUACAAUGUUUUCAUUCUAAUGUGUAUUGUGGGAGUUUAUACUGCCCUCAAAAUUACAUUUAAUAAUGUCCUAAAACCUAAAUAGGGACACAUUUCAUUCAUAGCCUCAAGAUUUGUCCCUUGCCAUGCAAUACCAACGUCUUUUUAACAAGUCAGUUUAUUCAACGCCCAUCUUUGCAGCGCCACCGAGCAGCUAUUUCGUCUUAUACAAGAUCAGACAUCUGUUUGAAUAGGGGGAGUCCAAAAUACUCUAAACCAAGAGUCAGAUUAUUAUUUUAGCAACACAUUUUAAAUAAUUU